RNAcentral lists this ribosomal RNA (460 nucleotides) under uncultured bacterium. Its description in RNAcentral is "partial 16S ribosomal RNA". It matches the Rfam family "Bacterial small subunit ribosomal RNA", at positions 338 to 795 of the family's 1533-position model. The record is from RNAcentral.
CCUACGGGAGGCAGCAGUGAGGAAUAUUGGUCAAUGGACGAGAGUCUGAACCAGCCAAGUAGCGUGAAGGAUGACUGCCCUAUGGGUUGUAAACUUCUUUUAUAUGGGAAUAAAAUGUUCCACGUGUGGGAUUUUGUAUGUACCAUAUGAAUAAGGAUCGGCUAACUCCGUGCCAGCAGCCGCGGUAAUACGGAGGAUCCGAGCGUUAUCCGGAUUUAUUGGGUUUAAAGGGAGCGUAGGUGGAUUGUUAAGUCAGUUGUGAAAGUUUGCGGCUCAACCGUAAAAUUGCAGUUGAAACUGGCAGUCUUGAGUACAGUAGAGGUGGGCGGAAUUCGUGGUGUAGCGGUGAAAUGCUUAGAUAUCGCGAAGAACUCCGAUUGCGAAGGCAGUUCACUGGACUGCAACUGACACUGAGGCUCGAAAGUGUGGGUAUCAAACAGGAUUAGAUACCCGUGUAGUC